AUCACUCAAGUAGCUUAAAUAACAAAG
This 27-nucleotide transfer RNA is filed under the name Amyda cartilaginea (black-rayed soft-shelled turtle). RNAcentral's name for it is "partial transfer RNA-Thr". The record is from RNAcentral. Lineage: Eukaryota; Metazoa; Chordata; Testudines; Trionychidae. RNAcentral also lists the same sequence under 1 other name.